Molecule: ribosomal RNA, 512 nt
Filed under: uncultured bacterium
Lineage: Bacteria
Description: partial 16S ribosomal RNA
Rfam family: Bacterial small subunit ribosomal RNA
Source: RNAcentral
GACGAACGCUGGCGGCGUGCCUAAUACAUGCAAGUCGAGCGAGCGGAACUAACAGAUUUACCUCGGUAAUGACGUUAGGAAAGCGAGCGGCGGAUGGGUGAGUAACACGUGGGGAACCUGCCCCAUAGUCUGGGAUACCACUUGGAAACAGGUGCUAAUACCGGAUAAGAAAGCAGAUCGCAUGAUCAGCUUUUAAAAGGCGGCGUAAGCUGUCGCUAUGGGAUGGCCCCGCGGUGCGUUAGCUAGUUGGUAAGGUAAAGGCUUACCAAGGCGAUGAUGCAUAGCCGAGUUGAGAGACUGAUCGGCCACAUUGGGACUGAGACACGGCCCAAACUCCUACGGGAGGCAGCAGUAGGGAAUCUUCCACAAUGGACGCAAGUCUGAUGGAGCAACGCCGCGUGAGUGAAGAAGGUUUUCGGAUCGUAAAGCUCUGUUGUUGGUGAAGAAGGAUAGAGGUAGUAACUGGCCUUUAUUUGACGGUAAUCAACCAGAAAGUCACGGCUAACUACGUG